AGAGUUUGAUCAUGGCUCAGAACGAACGUUAGCGGCGCGCCUAAGACAUGCAAGUCGAGCGAGAAAGGGCUUCGGCCCCAGUAAAGCGGCGCACGGGUGAGUAACACGUAGGUAACCUACCCCUGGGUGGUGGAUAACCCUCCGAAAGGAGGGCUAACACAGCAUGACACCGAAAGGUCAAAGCGGGCCUCUUCAUGAAAGCUCGCGCCUGGGGAUGGGCCUGCGGCCCAUCAGCUAGUUGGCGGGGUAACAGCCCACCAAGGCAAAGACGGGUAGCUGGUCUGAGAGGAUGAACAGCCACACUGGAACUGAGACACGGUCCAGGCUCCUACGGGAGGCAGCAGUCGGGAAUCUUCCGCAAUGGGCGAAAGCCUGACGGAGCGACGCCGCGUGAGUGAUGAAGGCCUUCGGGUUGUAAAGCUCUGUGGAGAGAGAAGAAUAAGGGUGGGUUAAUAGCCUAUCUGAUGACGGUAUCUCUUUAGCAAGCACCGGCUAACUCUGUGCCAGCAGCCGCGGUAAUACAGAGGGUGCAAACGUUGUUCGGAUUUACUGGGCGUAAAGCGCGUGUAGGCGGCCUAGCAAGUCGGGUGUGAAAUCCUGCGGCUCAACCGUGGAAGUGCAUUCGAAACUGCUAGGCUGGAGUCCUGGAGAGGAAGAUGGAAUGCUUGGUGUAGAGGUGAAAUCNNAGAUAUCAAGCAGAACACCUGCGGCGAAGGCGGUCUUCUGGACAGUGACUGACGCUGAGACGCGAAAGCGUGGGGAGCAAACAGGAUUAGAUACCCUAGUAGUCC
Molecule: ribosomal RNA, 791 nt
Filed under: uncultured bacterium
Lineage: Bacteria
Description: bacterial SSU rRNA
Rfam family: Bacterial small subunit ribosomal RNA
Source: RNAcentral